RNAcentral lists this ribosomal RNA (252 nucleotides) under uncultured Succinispira sp. Its description in RNAcentral is "partial 16S ribosomal RNA". It matches the Rfam family "Bacterial small subunit ribosomal RNA", at positions 524 to 776 of the family's 1533-position model. The record is from RNAcentral. Lineage: Bacteria; Bacillati; Bacillota; Negativicutes; Acidaminococcales; Acidaminococcaceae.
UACGUAGGUGGCGAGCGUUGUCCGGAAUUAUUGGGCGUAAAGAGCAUGUAGGUGGGAAUGUAAGUCUGUUGUUAAAAUGCGGAGCUCAACUCCGUAUUGCACUGGAAACUACAUUUCUUGAGUGCAGGAGAGGAAAGGGGAAUUCCCAGUGUAGCGGUGAAAUGCGUAGAUAUUGGGAGGAACACCAGUGGCGAAGGCGCCUUUCUGGACUGUGUCUGACACUGAGAUGCGAAAGCUAGGGGAGCGAACGGG